Molecule: long non-coding RNA, 259 nt
Organism: Asparagus officinalis (garden asparagus)
Lineage: Eukaryota; Viridiplantae; Streptophyta; Magnoliopsida; Asparagales; Asparagaceae
Exons: 2
Source: RefSeq, a predicted model, not a curated record
UGGAUUCUUGAGCUCCACAUGCAUGGAUUUGUUCAUGUGGCAGUUUAGCUUUCACAUGCACGUGGGUGGUUCGAGCAAUUGUGGCAAUUUGAAAAAAAUCCAAGCAUGAAGUCUGAAUGUAUCAACAAUGAGUUUUGUUGUAACUAUUUCUAUUUUGAAACAAGAAAAUGUCUCUAAUUUGUGAGAGUUAUUGGAUGUAUUAUAUUAUGGUCGAUACAUUUGUGCUGCAUAUGUGUUUAUCAUUUGCUACAUUUGUGCU